Molecule: microRNA precursor, 85 nt
Organism: Rhinopithecus bieti (black snub-nosed monkey)
Lineage: Eukaryota; Metazoa; Chordata; Mammalia; Primates; Cercopithecidae
Source: Ensembl
ACUAUUAGGUUGGUGCAAAAGUAAUUGUGGUUUUUGCAAAUAAUUUUAAUUGCCAAAACUGCAAUUACUUUUGCAUCAACCAAAC